RNAcentral lists this long non-coding RNA (243 nucleotides) under Lepidothrix coronata (blue-crowned manakin). RNAcentral's name for it is "lncRNA (ENSLCOG00000004470.1)". The record is from RNAcentral. Lineage: Eukaryota; Metazoa; Chordata; Aves; Passeriformes; Pipridae.
UGUCAGUCCUCAGAAAAGCUUGCCAUGGAAAAAAUGCCUGGUCAUCAGCCUGUUCUGCUCCUGGCACUUCUUUUGGAUGAUCCCAAGCAAGUUCCUUCUCUCUCUUGAAUGGCUUCUUUACAAUGGAAAAUGGAGGGAAAAGUCAUCUAGGUGAACUAGAAGCACGCAUUUCAAAUAGACCAGAUGAACUGGGUCCUGGCCCAUGGAUAACACGAGACAUAGCAUUCAAGGGCAGGCUGUCUG